This 461-nucleotide ribosomal RNA is filed under the name Hypocolpus abbotti. RNAcentral describes it as "partial 16S ribosomal RNA". It matches the Rfam family "Bacterial large subunit ribosomal RNA", at positions 1951 to 2613 of the family's 2925-position model. The record is from RNAcentral. Lineage: Eukaryota; Metazoa; Arthropoda; Malacostraca; Decapoda; Xanthidae.
CAAAGGUAGCAUAAUCAUUAGGGGUUUAAUUGGAACCUGGUAUGAAGGGUUGGACAAAGGAGAAACUGUCUCUAUAGUAUAAUUUGAAAUUUACUUUUAAGUGAAAAGGCUUAAAUGAAUCAAAGGGACGAUAAGACCCUAUAAAGCUUUAUAAGUAAUUGGAAUUUAGUUGAUUUAUAUAUAAAAGUUAAGUUUAAUUAUUUUAUUUCAUUGGGGUGAUGUGAGUAUAAUUAGUAUUAACUGCUUAUAGAAGAUACUAGUAAAUAAAAGAAUUAUAAGCAAUGAUCCUUUUUAAAGAUUAGAAGAACAAGUUACUUUAGGGAUAACAGCGUUAUUUCUUUUGAGAGUUCAUAUCGAAAAAGAAGAUUGCGACCUCGAUGUUGAAUUAAAAUAUCUACAUAAUGCAGUCGUUAUGUGAGAGGGUCUGUUCGACCUUUAAAUUUUUACAUGAUUUGAGUUCA